Molecule: ribosomal RNA, 253 nt
Filed under: uncultured bacterium
Lineage: Bacteria
Description: partial 16S ribosomal RNA
Rfam family: Bacterial small subunit ribosomal RNA
Source: RNAcentral
UACGGAGGGUGCGAGCGUUGUUCGGAAUCACUGGGCGUAAAGGGCGUGUAGGCGGUCCGCUAAGUCUGAUGUGAAAGCCCGGGGCUCACCCCCGGAAGGGCAUUGGAAACUGGCGGACUCGAGUCCCGGAGAGGAAGGUGGAAUUCCUGGUGUAGCGGUGAAAUGCGUAGAUAUCAGGAGGAAUACCGGUGGCGAAGGCGGCCUUCUGGACGGUGACUGACGCUGAGACGCGAAAGCGUGGGGAUCAAACAGG